UCAACACACAACUGCUCUGCGCAAACUCUCUCAACAACUUUGAGAUUUUUUAUUUUCUCUUUUCGCUGACACAUCGUCCGUUGGCAUCAACAGCACUGUGAAAGCAACCUGUGAUAUCUUCAGUCGGCAUAGAUAGCUCUGUCGCCGUAGAAUCAGCUGAUCUCGCAACAUCUUCCGUUGGCAUCAACAGCACUGCGGCGAGGACGGUUGGUUAUCUAUCCAAGUCUCGGUCGAAAAGGAUUUUCGAAUCCUUAUUGGUUGAGGUAAUCUCAUUAGCCUUUUCAGCGAAAUGAGGUGUUACAAGUUAUUACAUUUGGCAUAUUGAAAGCCGAAUUUGAUAUUGAACUUCGUAGAACUAGCAGCCUUGUCUUUAGGCUUUAGAACCCGAAGGCCAAGAGUGUUCCUUCCUCGGUCGCAGUCCCGAGAUGCAGAAGUCAGCAGUGCCCCCAACGCAAUAUCAACAAAUUUUACUCCUCGGUCGAGCUCGGUCGACGAGUUGGCAAGCCCCGCAUACAACCGAAAGACGUAGUUAACUUACUAAUUACUCGGCCUGCGCGCCACGUAGGCUUGGUAGUUUUUAGGGUCAACAUUUUGGCACACCCAGUGGGACACAGUGCUAAAACUACGAAGUUCACAUGAUCUAUCUCGAUCAAGCUUCAUGGGAUGAGUGUCAUCGCCUAUUACAUAAGCAAAAACAACUCCUCAAGAGAUUGGGAAGAAUUUCUGAAAGGCAAGAGGCCGAGGGCAAAUUUCCGCUCCGGCCACAACCAAUAUUCGGCCUAAGAAAAUUGUUAAUUUUGCCAAAGAAUAAAGGCCACCUAUUUUUUUGGUCGAGGUUGAAAAUAUGGUCGGCCAAGACGAAAAACCUAGGCCAUCUAUUUUUUUGGUCGAGACUGAAAGUGUGGCAGGCCUAGAAGGAAAAAUUCAAGUUUCUAAGCCACAAAUCGACUCAGAAAAUGAUUCAAUAGAAAUGUGUUCCGAUGACGAACAAGGCCGAGACGUAGGCCUAGUCGAAAAAGCCACGCCAAUCGAUAUGAUUAUUGGUGAUAAAGCCGAUAUGGAGAAAUCCCAUUUGGCUAAGUUGUUCGAGUUGAAAGCCGAAAUUGGCGAAAUUAUUAUGCCCUGGGGGCAUACUAAUUGUUCAACACAUUCGAUGGCCGAUGUUAAAAAAUCUUUUGUCAAGCUGAGCAUAUUUGGAGAUGAUUUUUUAUUCGGCUCAAUGCAAAUUUUGAUUGGCUGUGUUGAUAUACAAAGAUCUCGGCUUGGAAUAAAACAUCGUUGGCCUCAUCUUCUUUAUUAGUUCGGCCACUUUUGUUUUCUUUUAUUAAAAACAUGAAUAAAUUAUUUUCAUAAUCAUCUGGCUAAUUAAGCCGAUACUUAAGAAAAUAUAGGGGGCAACGAGAUGGGGUAGAUUAAAAAAAAAAUCGGCCGAAUGAAAGAAAGUUUGGCCAAAUACAAUGCAGUUAGCUGAAUAUAAUAGGUUAUAUAUAUAUACAUAUGUGUGUGUGUGUGUGCGCGCGCGCCUAUUGCAUCACCCAAUCCUCCUCGUCCUCGACCUCAGCCCACUUUACAAAAUAAUAUAUAUAUAUAUAUAUAUAUAUAUAUAUAUAUAUAUAUAUAUGUUUGCUUCCAAAGUCACUUUCAAUCAUGUGAGGUGUUGUCAGAAUUCAUUGGAAAGUUGAAGUUUUAGGGCCGAGCUUGGCCAACACGUCGCGGUAUAUAUAUAUAUAUAUAGAGGCAGGCCAAGCUGUCAAAGAUUUUUCUCGGCCUCUUUUCCCCCCAACUUUUCUCGACCUACAUCACACAUGCCGAGCUCGGCGAGGUAUUAUUGCAGGGUGCUGGUGCUCGACCGUGAGGUCAUUCGGCCUGCCAUGUAUGUAUAUAUAUAAAUUUCUAUGGCCAUUUAGCUUUGGACUACGGGUGCGGCCUGCCAUGUUAUAUAUAUAUAUGUAUGUAUAUCUGCAUAUAGAGAUGUUGUUGCCGAGGAUCAAAGUUUUUUUCAGCGAUACGGGAUUUUGCUGGCUGAAAAUAAUUAAUUUCCUUAACCAUUCGGCUUAAGAGCCGAAGCUCUAGGAAAUUGGGGGGCAAUGUUUGGACCCAAUUUUACACUAUUGGUUCGUGCGAUCAAAGUCGUUGAUGAAGAUGGCUCACAACCGUUGGAUGACACGAUAGUUAAGAUAAUUAUUAUUGAAAGAUAUAUUGUGGUUUCAAUCAUGAUAUUAUCUUUUAAUGGUGAAUUAUCUUGACAUUUUUUUUAUACGGAAUAAAUGAGUUUCAAAUUAUCUCUAAUUUAGAAGCGAUAACAGAGUUCAAGUGUAAGGCCGCGGAGAGACUUUUAUUUGGAGAUCGAUUCUGUGCAAAAGAGUCCAGUUCAGAUAAAUUGGCAAUGGGAAUGGCGUUUUGAUGAAUGGCAUGCAUGUCCUUAAUGUGUUAUUAGUUAAACACGUGGCCCAGUUUGCGAGAGAAGAUUAUCUAGAGUUAAGUUGUUGGGUUAAUUCAGUUGAUAUGCAUGCACGACAGUAGAGAUUGAUGACUUGUGGUGAUGGUGUUGUCAGAUUGAGUAUAGGAUCAUAAAAAUUGAUGAUGGGGUUACAGUGUCCAUGCCCUGUGAAAGACUACCAACUAUAUAUAUAUAUAUGUAUGUAUGUAUGUAUGUAUGUAUCUAUGUAAUAGAUGGUUGUUUAGAUAAAUAUUAUUUGUUCAAAGCCAAGCAUGCAGGUUAUCUUGGUAAUCUUAAUGGGAUAAAGCAUGGUUACUGAUGGGUUUUGAUAAAGAGAUGAGAAGCCUAGGUGGCCUAGAAAUGUGAUGUGAUAAGCCUAGUUGGACUUUUAUUAAGUUUGAAAAGUCUUGGAACAAAUCUCACAGCUCAGUUUGAAGGAUAUGCCCUGGUUUUGGGUUACAGAUACAGAUCAACUUCAGGAAUUAGAGUUGCAAUUAAACUCUGCAACAUCAUCUGACCGUGCAGAGCAAGUACUUCAGUGCUAUAAAUACAGUGCAGUGGCAACGAAAAAAAGGACCUCCAAUUCAACACACAACUGCCCUGUGCAAACUCUCUCAACAACUUUGAAAUUUUUUAUUUUCUCUUUUCGCUGACACAUCUUCCGUUGGCAUCAACAACACUGUGAAAGCAACCGGUGAUAUCUUCAGUCAGCAUAGAUAACUUUGUCACCGUAGAAUCAGCUGAUCUCGCAGCAUCUUCCGUUAGCAUCAACAGCACUGCGACGGGAUGGUUGGUUUUCUAUCCAAGUCUCGGUCAAGAAGGAUUUUCGAAUCCUUAUUGGUCAAGGUCAUCUCAUUAGCCUUCUC
Molecule: long non-coding RNA, 3306 nt
Filed under: Malus domestica (apple)
Lineage: Eukaryota; Viridiplantae; Streptophyta; Magnoliopsida; Rosales; Rosaceae
Description: long non-coding RNA (MDOM_LNC002857)
Source: RNAcentral